GACGAACGCUGGCGGCGUGCCUAAUACAUGCAAGUUGAGCGAUGAAGAUUGGUGCUUGCACCAAUUUGAAGAGCAGCGAACGGGUGAGUAACGCGUGGGUAAUCUGCCUUUGAGCGGGGGACAACAUUUGGAAACGAAUGCUAAUACCGCAUAACAACUUUAAACAUAAGUUUUAAGUUUGAAAGAUGCAAUUGCAUCACUCAAAGAUGAUCCCACGUUGUAUUAGCUAGUUGGUGAGGUAAAGGCUCACCAAGGCGAUGAUACAUAGCCGACCUGAGAGGGUGAUCGGCCACAGUGGGACUGAGACACGGCCCAAACUCCUACGGGAGGCAGCAGUAGGGAAUCUUCGGCAAUGGACGAAAGUCUGACCGAGCAACGCCGCGUGAGUGAAGAAGGUUUUCGGAUCGUAAAACUCUGUUGGUAGAGAAGAACGUUGGUGAGAGUGGAAAGCUCAUCAAGUGACGGUAACUACCCAGAAAGGGACGGCUAACUACGUG
Molecule: ribosomal RNA, 497 nt
Filed under: uncultured bacterium
Lineage: Bacteria
Description: partial 16S ribosomal RNA
Rfam family: Bacterial small subunit ribosomal RNA
Source: RNAcentral